RNAcentral lists this ribosomal RNA (253 nucleotides) under uncultured bacterium. RNAcentral's name for it is "partial 16S ribosomal RNA". It matches the Rfam family "Bacterial small subunit ribosomal RNA", at positions 524 to 776 of the family's 1533-position model. The record is from RNAcentral.
UACGUAGGGUCCGAGCGUUGUCCGGAAUUAUUGGGCGUAAAGAGCUCGUAGGCGGUUUGUUGCGUCUGCUGUGAAAUCCCGAGGCUCAACCUCGGGUCUGCAGUGGAUACGGGCAGACUGGAGUGCGGUAGGGGAGAGUGGAAUUCCUGGUGUAGCGGUGGAAUGCGCAGAUAUCAGGAGGAACACCGAUGGCGAAGGCAGUUCUCUGGGCCGUAACUGACGCUGAGGCGCGAAAGCUAGGGGAGCAAACAGG